GUGGGCAUGACCGUACGCCGGAGAGAAGGGCAGUGGUGCCUGGGCCACGUGGGAAGACGGCCAACGCGUGCGUGUGGAGUUGGUCUGCGGUUGCCGAUGGAGUGAGGAGACAUCAACCGUGCAACCGGCAAUCCUUUGAGAAGAAGGGGUCGGGGUCUACUUUCCUUUGCUGCUCAGCCGCCAUCCUUUAAUUGUGCUUUUAUGCCUGCAGAACGAUAUUGAGAAUCGAACUCCUGCAAUGGCCUUUUGUCUUCUAAGAGUUACAUUCUCGAAGACUAAUGACUUGAAGAUCUCCAUAUUGUGACAAUUCUCGACCGAGAAAGAUAUUGACACAGGUGGGACGAUGAUGGGAGGAAGAAGACCUCAUUACUCUCGUGUGGCAAUAGCUCGAGGAAGAGGUAGAGUUGGUGUAAUUUUAAGUUUCCUUUUAGACGUGCAUCAUGUGUUAAAGGGGUCGACAUCCGAGCUAAGUAUUAUGUUCCCCAACCAAUAAUUAUCCAUCGUUUUUAUUUUGUUUUUUCAAUUUUUUACCUAACAAUAUAGGAAAGCUUCUGAAAUAUCUAAAUCAUAUACUUUAGUUUUAAAAUGAUCAAA
This is a long non-coding RNA of Zingiber officinale, 594 nucleotides long. RefSeq lists it as uncharacterized. The transcript is spliced from 3 exons. The record is from RefSeq and is a predicted model, not a curated record. Lineage: Eukaryota; Viridiplantae; Streptophyta; Magnoliopsida; Zingiberales; Zingiberaceae.